RNAcentral lists this ribosomal RNA (431 nucleotides) under uncultured bacterium. RNAcentral's name for it is "bacterial SSU rRNA". It matches the Rfam family "Bacterial small subunit ribosomal RNA", at positions 920 to 1345 of the family's 1533-position model. The record is from RNAcentral.
GACCCCGCACAAGCAGUGGAGCAUGUGGUUUAAUUCGAAGAUACGCGCAGAACCUUACCAACACUUGACAUGUUCGUCGCGAGCCUAAGAGAUUAGGCUUUUCAGUUUGGCUGGACGAAACACAGGUGCUGCAUGGCUGUCGUCAGCUCGUGUCGUGAGAUGUUGGGUUAAGUCCCGCAACGAGCGCAACCCCCUACUUUUAGUUGCCACCAUUUAGUUGGGCACUUUAAAAGAACUGCCAGUGAUAAGCUGGAGGAAGGUGGGGAUGACGUCAAGUCCUCAUGGCCCUUAUGUGUUGGGCUACACACGUGCUACAAUGGCACUUACAAUGGGAAGCGAAGAGGCGACUCUAAGCUAAUCCCUAAAAUGUGUCUCAGUUCGGAUUGUACUCUGUAACUCGAGUGCAUGAAGCUGGAAUUGCUAGUAAUCGC